Molecule: small nuclear RNA, 164 nt
Filed under: Salmo trutta (river trout)
Lineage: Eukaryota; Metazoa; Chordata; Actinopteri; Salmoniformes; Salmonidae
Description: U1 spliceosomal RNA (ENSSTUG00000012552.1)
Rfam family: U1 spliceosomal RNA
About the family: U1 is a small nuclear RNA (snRNA) component of the spliceosome (involved in pre-mRNA splicing). Its 5' end forms complementary base pairs with the 5' splice junction, thus defining the 5' donor site of an intron. There are significant differences in sequence and secondary structure between metazoan and yeast U1 snRNAs, the latter being much longer (568 nucleotides as compared to 164 nucleotides in human).
Source: Rfam by way of RNAcentral
AUAGUCACCUGGCAGGGGAGACACCUUGAUCACAAAGGAGGUUUACCCAGGGUGAGGCUCGGCAAAUGCACUCUGGUCGUGCUAAACCCUGCAAGUUCCCCAAAAUGUGGGAAUCUCGACUGAAUAAUAUAUGCUCCCGUGUGGGUCAGUUGGUAGAGCAUGGU